GGGGACGAAAGGAUUUCGACGGGGAUUUUGAAGCAUGAUAAGCGGGUAGCGCUGUGGCAAUCGCUUUAAAAGGUCACACAUUUAAAAUUAACUGACAAUAAUACAGUUUUAAAGGCUGCCUAAUGCGGCCCGUCUUGGUUAAGAGUACUGCGGCUUAACUAAAGGCGUCGACUAGCAGUGAACGUGUACGGCAGAGCAUCCUCGUAUGCCGUCACGCAUCAGAGGAUACUGAGCAUAUAAGCCUGUCAAUCGGCGUGUGUGCGAGGGAAUGUCAAAAGACUGACUGCACCCGGAGAAAGUUGUGUGGACGAGUUUUCGGACGCGGUUUCGAUUACCGCCGUCUCCACCA
This 349-nucleotide transfer-messenger RNA is filed under the name Acutalibacteraceae. RNAcentral's name for it is "UBA6857 sp900768075 Standard tmRNA". It matches the Rfam family "transfer-messenger RNA". Rfam says of the family: Bacterial tmRNA, also known as 10Sa RNA or SsrA, is named for its dual tRNA and mRNA-like properties. Its role is to liberate the mRNA from a stalled ribosome. To accomplish this part of the tmRNA is used as a reading frame that ends in a translation stop signal. Lineage: Bacteria; Bacillati; Bacillota; Clostridia; Eubacteriales. RNAcentral also lists the same sequence under 1 other name. The record is from RNAcentral.